Long non-coding RNA from Mytilus trossulus (common blue mussel), 497 nucleotides. RefSeq lists it as uncharacterized. Lineage: Eukaryota; Metazoa; Mollusca; Bivalvia; Mytilida; Mytilidae. The record is from RefSeq and is a predicted model, not a curated record. The transcript is spliced from 4 exons.
CAACCUGCAAAAUCUAAACAUCUUCUUUCAAUUAGAGUCACAUCUUUUCUCAAAAUCUGGCAAAUUCCGACCAAAUCAUGACAUUGUACACCAGGCUAGCAGUUCUGUUAGUGUGCACGACAUUGGUGUUUGGAAUGUCAAGAAGAAAAGAUGAAGAAGUCAGCAAAGAAUGUAAUGAUCUUCUUCAAAAACCUGAAAUUGAUGAUGAUAAGAUGACAAGGGAAGAACUGGUAUGUAUCUACUGGUCAUCUGGUGGAUCACAAAAGGAUGCUGAACAAUAGGCCGAUCAAUCUAUUCAAGAAGGAGACGAGAAUGGCAAUGGGGUGAUUGAUGGUGACGAAAAAAUCUAAGUUACUUGACUAAAACCAGUGAAAAUCAGUAUGUGCAUUGAGGAACGCUGACACCAUGAAAGAAAAAUGUUUUGUUUUUAAUCAGCAUGAUUUGACUGCUGUAACAUUGCUAUGUAUUACAUUCAACAAUAAACGUUUUAAAAUCCC